UGGCUGCAGCUGAUUGAGUCCAAGUACCUGCAGGGCCAGCCCCUCUUGGCUUGCUUGCACUCGGCUGGGUCCCAGUUUUGGAAAUCUGUCCAGGCCAUCAAGGAUGAGAUUAGGCUGGGUUUGCGGUUCUCGGUUGGUAAUGGGUCUGGGACCCAAUUUUGGUUGGACCCCUGGCUUGAUGAGGAGCCUCUUCGCAUGCGGUUUCUAAGGCUCUUUGCGAUUUUUUACGACCCAGCUGUUCUUGUUUCUGUGGGUGCUUUGGAUGAGGGAUGGAACAUUGUGUUCCGCCACUCAUUCGGACCAACUGAGGUGCAGGAAUGGGCAGACUUGAGGGAAGUAGUCCCUCUUCCUUUGUCCUAG
RNAcentral lists this ribosomal RNA (360 nucleotides) under Triticum aestivum (bread wheat). Its description in RNAcentral is "partial small subunit ribosomal RNA". The record is from RNAcentral. Lineage: Eukaryota; Viridiplantae; Streptophyta; Magnoliopsida; Poales; Poaceae.